GACGAACGCUGGCGGCGUGCUUAACACAUGCAAGUCGAACGGUGAAGGCGGAGCUUGCUCUGCCGGAUCAGUGGCGAACGGGUGAGUAACACGUGGGCAACCUGCCCCUCACUUCGGGAUAACUCCGGGAAACCGGGGCUAAUACCGGAUACGACCUCCUUGGGCAUCUUUGGAGGUGGAAAGUUUUUCGGUGAGGGAUGGGCCCGCGGCCUAUCAGCUUGUUUGUGAGGUAGUGGCUCACCAAGGCGACGACGGGUAGCCGGCCGGAGAGGGCGACCGGCCACACUGGGACUGAGACACGGCCCAGACUCCGACGGGAGGCAGCAGGGGUGAAUAUUGCGCAAGUGGCGAAAGCCUGACGCAGCAACGCCGCGUGCGGGAUGAAGGCCUUCGGGUUGUAAACCGCUUUCAGCAGGGAAGAAGCCGCAAGGUGACGGUACCCGCAGAAGAAGCACCGGCUAACUACGUGCCAGCCGCCGCCGUAA
This 485-nucleotide ribosomal RNA is filed under the name uncultured bacterium. RNAcentral's name for it is "partial 16S ribosomal RNA". It matches the Rfam family "Bacterial small subunit ribosomal RNA", at positions 28 to 523 of the family's 1533-position model. The record is from RNAcentral.